Molecule: long non-coding RNA, 358 nt
Filed under: Helianthus annuus (common sunflower)
Lineage: Eukaryota; Viridiplantae; Streptophyta; Magnoliopsida; Asterales; Asteraceae
Description: sRNA HanXRQr2_Chr04g0188831
Source: RNAcentral
AUGACAACUCAGAAAACAAAGUUAUUUGGAUAUUUCAAGAGACAUUGUUUGUUUGAGAGCAGCAGAUUACACUGCAGAACAAGUAUAAAAACAAUGUUUUGAGUAUAUCGACAACCACAAUCGGGCUCUUGUUGCUUGCCAAAACCUUUCUAUUUCUAUCAACAAAAUCUGUUCAGCAGAAACCAUUUCAAUACUGCUACCACCACUCAUCUUCACAAUUCACACCACCCAAAUCAAGAUCUAUAAUAUCAUCAUUAAACACAAUUUCCUCAAACACUAGUGUUCCUAAGUUAAAUCCCACUCAAGAAAUUGAAUAAAUCACUCGGAUCUUAUCCGAAUUUAACCCGAACUCACGAAU